Molecule: small nucleolar RNA, 84 nt
Organism: Xiphias gladius (swordfish)
Lineage: Eukaryota; Metazoa; Chordata; Actinopteri; Istiophoriformes; Xiphiidae
Product: small nucleolar RNA SNORD100
Exons: 1
Source: RefSeq, a predicted model, not a curated record
UGGAUUGCUGAUGAUAUCUUGGCUCCCUCUACUGAAUACUGUGAGGAGAUUGCCACUGUUACCCAAUUUUCUGUCUGAGAUGUG